RNAcentral lists this ribosomal RNA (2884 nucleotides) under human gut metagenome. RNAcentral's name for it is "bacterial LSU rRNA". It matches the Rfam family "Bacterial large subunit ribosomal RNA". The record is from RNAcentral.
UAGAAGCCGAUGAAGGACGUUACUAACGACGAUAUGCUUUGGGGAGCUGUAAGUAAGCUUUGAUCCAGAGAUUUCCGAAUGGGGAAACCCAGCAUGAGUUAUGUCAUGUUAUCGAUAUGUGAAUACAUAGCAUAUCAGAAGGCACACCCGGAGAACUGAAACAUCUUAGUACCCGGAGGAAGAGAAAGAAAAUUCGAUUCCCUUAGUAGCGGCGAGCGAAACGGGAAGAGCCCAAACCAACAAGCUUGCUUGUUGGGGUUGUAGGACACUCUAUACGGAGUUACAAAGGACGACAUUAGACGAAUCAUCUGGAAAGAUGAAUCAAAGAAGGUAAUAAUCCUGUAGUCGAAAAUGUUGUCUCUCUUGAGUGGAUCCUGAGUACGACGGAGCACGUGAAAUUCCGUCGGAAUCUGGGAGGACCAUCUCCUAAGGCUAAAUACUCUCUAGUGACCGAUAGUGAACCAGUACCGUGAGGGAAAGGUGAAAAGCACCCCGGAAGGGGAGUGAAAUAGAACCUGAAACCGUGUGCUUACAAGUAGUCAGAGCCCGUUAAUGGGUGAUGGCGUGCCUUUUGUAGAAUGAACCGGCGAGUUACGAUUUGAUGCAAGGUUAAGCAGUAAAUGUGGAGCCGUAGCGAAAGCGAGUCUGAAUAGGGCGUUUAGUAUUUGGUCGUAGACCCGAAACCAGGUGAUCUACCCUUGGUCAGGUUGAAGUUCAGGUAACACUGAAUGGAGGACCGAACCGACUUACGUUGAAAAGUGAGCGGAUGAACUGAGGGUAGCGGAGAAAUUCCAAUCGAACCUGGAGAUAGCUGGUUCUCUCCGAAAUAGCUUUAGGGCUAGCCUCAAGUGAUGAUUAUUGGAGGUAGAGCACUGUUUGGACGAGGGGCCCCUCUCGGGUUACCGAAUUCAGACAAACUCCGAAUGCCAAUUAAUUUAACUUGGGAGUCAGAACAUGGGUGAUAAGGUCCGUGUUCGAAAGGGAAACAGCCCAGACCACCAGCUAAGGUCCCAAAAUAUAUGUUAAGUGGAAAAGGAUGUGGCGUUGCCCAGACAACUAGGAUGUUGGCUUAGAAGCAGCCAUCAUUUAAAGAGUGCGUAAUAGCUCACUAGUCGAGUGACACUGCGCCGAAAAUGUACCGGGGCUAAACAUAUUACCGAAGCUGUGGAUUGUCCUUUGGACAAUGGUAGGAGAGCGUUCUAAGGGCGUUGAAGCAUGAUCGUAAGGACAUGUGGAGCGCUUAGAAGUGAGAAUGCCGGUGUGAGUAGCGAAAGACGGGUGAGAAUCCCGUCCACCGAUUGACUAAGGUUUCCAGAGGAAGGCUCGUCCGCUCUGGGUUAGUCGGGUCCUAAGCUGAGGCCGACAGGCGUAGGCGAUGGAUAACAGGUUGAUAUUCCUGUACCACCUAUAAUCGUUUUAAUCGAUGGGGGGACGCAGUAGGAUAGGCGAAGCGUGCGAUUGGAUUGCACGUCUAAGCAGUAAGGCUGAGUAUUAGGCAAAUCCGGUACUCGUUAAGGCUGAGCUGUGAUGGGGAGAAGACAUUGUGUCUUCGAGUCGUUGAUUUCACACUGCCGAGAAAAGCCUCUAGAUAGAAAAUAGGUGCCCGUACCGCAAACCGACACAGGUAGUCAAGAUGAGAAUUCUAAGGUGAGCGAGCGAACUCUCGUUAAGGAACUCGGCAAAAUGACCCCGUAACUUCGGGAGAAGGGGUGCUCUUUAGGGUUAACGCCCAGAAGAGCCGCAGUGAAUAGGCCCAAGCGACUGUUUAUCAAAAACACAGGUCUCUGCUAAACCGUAAGGUGAUGUAUAGGGGCUGACGCCUGCCCGGUGCUGGAAGGUUAAGAGGAGUGGUUAGCUUCUGCGAAGCUACGAAUCGAAGCCCCAGUAAACGGCGGCCGUAACUAUAACGGUCCUAAGGUAGCGAAAUUCCUUGUCGGGUAAGUUCCGACCCGCACGAAAGGCGUAACGAUUUGGGCACUGUCUCAACGAGAGACUCGGUGAAAUCAUAGUACCUGUGAAGAUGCAGGUUACCCGCGACAGGACGGAAAGACCCCGUGGAGCUUUACUGUAGCCUGAUAUUGAAAUUCGGCACAGCUUGUACAGGAUAGGUAGGAGCCUUUGAAACGUGAGCGCUAGCUUACGUGGAGGCGCUGGUGGGAUACUACCCUAGCUGUGUUGGCUUUCUAACCCGCACCACUUAUCGUGGUGGGAGACAGUGUCAGGCGGGCAGUUUGACUGGGGCGGUCGCCUCCUAAAAGGUAACGGAGGCGCUCAAAGGUUCCCUCAGAAUGGUUGGAAAUCAUUCAUAGAGUGUAAAGGCAUAAGGGAGCUUGACUGCGAGACCUACAAGUCGAGCAGGGUCGAAAGACGGACUUAGUGAUCCGGUGGUUCCGCAUGGAAGGGCCAUCGCUCAACGGAUAAAAGCUACCCCGGGGAUAACAGGCUUAUCUCCCCCAAGAGUUCACAUCGACGGGGAGGUUUGGCACCUCGAUGUCGGCUCAUCGCAUCCUGGGGCUGUAGUCGGUCCCAAGGGUUGGGCUGUUCGCCCAUUAAAGCGGUACGCGAGCUGGGUUCAGAACGUCGUGAGACAGUUCGGUCCCUAUCCGUCGUGGGCGUAGGAAAUUUGAGAGGAGCUGUCCUUAGUACGAGAGGACCGGGAUGGACAUACCUCUGGUGUACCAGUUGUCGUGCCAACGGCAUAGCUGGGUAGCUAUGUGUGGACGGGAUAAGUGCUGAAAGCAUCUAAGCAUGAAGCCCCCCUCAAGAUGAGAUUUCCCAACUUCGGUUAUAAGAUCCCUCAAAGAUGAUGAGGUUAAUAGGUUCGAGGUGGAAGCAUGGUGACAUGUGGAGCUGACGAAUACUAAUCGAUCGAAGACUUAAUCAA